Molecule: ribosomal RNA, 570 nt
Filed under: uncultured Alternaria
Lineage: Eukaryota; Fungi; Ascomycota; Dothideomycetes; Pleosporales; Pleosporaceae
Description: eukaryotic LSU rRNA
Rfam family: 5.8S ribosomal RNA (bases 196-349)
Source: RNAcentral
UCGUAGGUGAACCUGCGGAGGGAUCAUUACACAAAUAUGAAGGCGGGCUGGAACCUCUCGGGGUUACAGCCUUGCUGAAUUAUUCACCCUUGUCUUUUGCGUACUUCUUGUUUCCUUGGUGGGUUCGCCCACCACUAGGACAAACAUAAACCUUUUGUAAUUGCAAUCAGAAAACAGUAACAAAUUAAUAAUUACAACUUUCAACAACGGAUCUCUUGGUUCUGGCAUCGAUGAAGAACGCAGCGAAAUGCGAUAAGUAGUGUGAAUUGCAGAAUUCAGUGAAUCAUCGAAUCUUUGAACGCACAUUGCGCCCUUUGGUAUUCCAAAGGGCGUGCCUGUUCGAGCGUCAUUUGUACCCUCAAGCUUUGCUUGGUGUUGGGCGUCUUGUCUCUAGCUUUGCUGGAGACUCGCCUUAAAGUAAUUGGCAGCCUUCCUCCUUUUUUCGGAGCGCAGCACAAGUCGCACUCUCUAUCAGCAAAGGUCUAGCAUCCAUUAAGCCUUUUUUUCAUCUUUUUUCCUCGGAUCAGGUAGGGAUACCCGCUGAACUUAAGCAUAUCAAUAAGCGGAGGA